This 253-nucleotide ribosomal RNA is filed under the name uncultured bacterium. Its description in RNAcentral is "partial 16S ribosomal RNA". It matches the Rfam family "Bacterial small subunit ribosomal RNA", at positions 524 to 776 of the family's 1533-position model. The record is from RNAcentral.
UACGUAGGGUGCGAGCGUUAAUCGGAAUUACUGGGCGUAAAGCGUGCGUAGACGGUUCUGUAAGUCGGAUGUGAAAUCCCCGGGCUCAACCUGGGAAUUGCAUUCGAGACUGCAAAGCUUGGGUGCGGAAGAGGGAAGCGGAAUUUCCGGUGUAGCGGUGAAAUGCGCAGAUAUCGGGAAGAACACCCGUGGCGAAGGCGGCUCUCUGGGACGGUACUGACGCUGAGACGCGAAAGCGUGGGGAGCGAACAGG